GGUUUUACCCCUCUUUCAUUUUUGUUUGCAGCCUGUUGCUCCCGUUUGAAAGGUGCUUUUUGGUGUUUUUGGUUGAGCUUUGGCCACGUUGCGUUUUGUAGGAAAGAUACUGGAAGAGCAUUACACAUUUACUUCCACUUCCAGCAUCUUCCACUUUUUCAUUUCCUUUUCUUUUCUUCUCUCUGUUUUUCCAUCUCUCUUUGCGUUUCUCUGUGUGUGACUCGCUGUUUUUAUCACGAUCCGAUCGUUUAGAAGGGUGGUUGAUCUGUUUUUUCCCGUUGUUUUCCGCAGAGGAAUCACAACGAUUUGGGUGCGUUGGUUGUUGUGUGCCGUUAUUCUGUGCUUGGUUGGAAACGUUUAUCUUCCAACUUUAGGGUUUUGUUGUGGGGGUUUGCAAACCCUUUAUGGGCUAGAUUGCAGAGCCAUUGGAGAGAGGACUUGCUGAGGACAUUGAAAAUGUAUAUAAGCUACAGUGUUCGUUUCUGCAUUGCAGUGAACGCUUAAAGGAAAAUGUGCUCUUAUGAGAUAUUCCAUGUUCAAGUAAUUAUACAAAUGAAGCACUGGGAUGACUGUCAAUGAGGAAUACUUGACUAGCUAUUUUUGUAUAUCAAUGACAAGGCAUUUGACAAUGUCUUUUCUGUAAGUCAUAUAAACUUAGACAACUUUGUAAAAAUAUUUGCUCCAUUUUCUACAUGUUUAUCUUAGUCUUUGGUUAUUUA
Long non-coding RNA from Malus domestica (apple), 719 nucleotides. RefSeq lists it as uncharacterized. Lineage: Eukaryota; Viridiplantae; Streptophyta; Magnoliopsida; Rosales; Rosaceae. The record is from RefSeq and is a predicted model, not a curated record.